UCNCUCUGUAGACCAGGCUGACCUCAACCU
RNAcentral lists this non-coding RNA (30 nucleotides) under Mus musculus (house mouse). Lineage: Eukaryota; Metazoa; Chordata; Mammalia; Rodentia; Muridae. The record is from RNAcentral.